AUACCUUUCUCGGCCUUUUGGCUAAGAUCAAGUGUAGUAUCUGUUCUUAUCAGUUUAAUAUCUGAUACGUGGGUCAUUGACUCACAUGAUAUUAAAUUAAUUUCUUUAGGGGGAGGGCCUGCUACAGCAGCUUGCUGCUGGGGUUCUUGAGUGUCGCCUAGGCAUUGCACUGCCACCUGGGCUUGGCAAACCCCAC
Malania oleifera is the source of this 196-nucleotide small nuclear RNA. RefSeq annotates it as U2 spliceosomal RNA. Lineage: Eukaryota; Viridiplantae; Streptophyta; Magnoliopsida; Santalales; Ximeniaceae. The transcript has a single exon. The record is from RefSeq and is a predicted model, not a curated record.